AAUAAGGUUCCUUUUUAUUAUCGACAAUUUAUGGUUGAACUUUUUGUUUCCUAAUCUAUGUAGUGUAAGUUGCGGAACGUUUGUUCCGACUUCGUCUAGCCUCGGAUCGCAUCGAGCAGUUUAUUAUUUUAGAGCGAACCCCUUCCUCUUGUAUUCCUUGUCUUUCUUUAUUCUUCACUCACCCUUCUUUAAAUUCGUACCCUCUCUCUGUUGCUUCUUCUCUUUUUAUGAACGCUUCGAUAGCAUGGAGCUUUGAGAUAAUGCAGUCUCUCGAAUUCUUUGGAUCGCAGUUUUAAAAAUCCACGUACAUACGGCAUUUCGUAGAAAAAUCCGACUAUCCUUGGACUUACACUGAAAGUCAUUACCCUUUAUCGUUCCCAUUACUUUUGAACUUAGUAACAAGCUUUUUUAUUCUAUUCCACUACGCAGGAUUUUCAUCAGAAUCAUCACCCACUAUGGACAUACAUGUAUAUGCGCUAGAAAUAGACUCUUUAAUUAUUAUAAUUAUGAUAUAUUAAUCUAAAUAUAAGUUCGUGUGAAAGAAGUCUAUGAUAUGAUAGGUAGGUAUAGUUACUAUAAAAGGAAGUUAUUAUGAUAGAUAGAUAAUAUUUGAAUUUAACAUUAAAAUUGCCGAAUAAAAAUCUCUUCGUUUACCAGAUAACACUAACAAAAAAUAGAGGGAUAAGCUUUUUCCUUAGACAAAAAUGUAUUGCAGAAAUGAGAACACCAUGAACCACGGGCCAAAGAUGGCCUGUCAACGGCGUCAUUGAGUGACUUCGUUUACACCUCGUGCAUAUUCGUCGUCUGGUUUACGUGCAAUCCGGAUGACGCAGUAAGAAGUGGUUCUUUUCGUACCACUUUAGUAUCUGGACCAGGCGUUAUUGAUUAAGGAAAAAAUCGGUCAAUAAACCCGCCAACGAAACGGGACAGGAUAUCAUAAACCUUACUUCAUAAAAAAUGUGAUAAAGAAUGGGAGAAAAUUUUGAUUGUAAAAUAGUACGACAAUGAGAUUUGAAUACACUACUAAAGGAAAUCAGAGUAAUUUUCAUUCCUUCACGAGCAGAAUCCGAUCUGCGGAUCGAAGAAGAGAAAAAUCUUAAUGCGAAAUUAAUGUCGGUUAUGAAUCUGUUUCGUGUAAGCCGACACCACAUGCGAUCCGCCAUCUCGCAUAACGUUCUCUAAUUUAUUACAUAAGCAAUCCCGCGCCUCUUGAUUCUCUAAGCCGAUUCAAGGAAAUCAUCGAUAGAUAGCGAGGCUCGAAUCGUCAAAACAAAGGUCCAUCUAUCUGUAAGUGACGACGGAGCAAUGAAACUCGUGGUUGCAAUUAUAUUCAAGUAUACCAACACAAUAUAUUUUACCCUAAUCAUAGUCACACGUUUCACAUACUGUAUUUGAUCUGAUCAUAGUACGUUGGCGGUGUUGUGGCUGUAUGAUGAAUGUUCGACGAAACUGUGCCAGGUAUAUUUGAUAUACUCAAGCCACUACUCAAGCUGCCGAUAUUGC
Molecule: long non-coding RNA, 1503 nt
Organism: Bombus huntii
Lineage: Eukaryota; Metazoa; Arthropoda; Insecta; Hymenoptera; Apidae
Exons: 3
Source: RefSeq, a predicted model, not a curated record